GAACUAAUCUCUUUUGGGUUCGUGGCCGCUACUUCCAACCAGUAUCGUUAUCAGAAUUGAAUAUUCAACCUUGGGGAUGCUUACAUGAGUAAAACUUCUUCCCAAUACUUUGCAUUCUUUGGCCAAUUAGUUCAACAACCAACAAACACCAUCCGAUAUAUAAAGAACAUAUCCACAUAGACAACCGCAAACCUAAAUAAAAAUCAC
RNAcentral lists this long non-coding RNA (207 nucleotides) under Lupinus angustifolius (narrow-leaved blue lupine). RNAcentral describes it as "long non-coding RNA (LANG_LNC001435)". The record is from RNAcentral. Lineage: Eukaryota; Viridiplantae; Streptophyta; Magnoliopsida; Fabales; Fabaceae.